CAUUUCCUUCCCUUCUCUCUCACAACUCACCCCUCACAAAACUUCAUCAGACCUUCUCUCUCUAUCGGCGACUCAAGAAUAUCAUGCCAGAUCUCUCACCAGAUGCCGUUUCAUGACCAGAUCUAGCUGAUUUAUCGGGUUGCUUUGGACUUUACCUCUGAUGGCGUUGUGUUCAAGUACGGCUCUAAGCCUAUUCAGUUAUUAGGUAUUUUGGAAAUCUAGAAAUUAGGUGAUCGAGAGUAAAUCUAUAUUUGAUCUUCCUAGCCUCCAUUGUUGAAAUCUAUUGGAUCUUGAGCUUUAAUGCCUUUUCAUGGUUUUAAAAGAUUAAGUAUUGUUGCACGAGAAUCAGCAAUAGAAUGCACCACCUGAACCAUGGGCAUUAAGAGAACGAUGAAUCUUGGCAUAUGUUGGGAAGCUUUAUUUACAGAAGCUGGACCUGCACUUGAAGUCUUAAGUGAUAUUCUUAAUGCCAUUGAUACCGGACUGGACGUUAGUUUCUAUACAAGAAACCCGUAAAACGCUACUAACUGAUGUCGAAUAACAGAAAACAAGGAUAGCUGGUUGAACAGGGUGAUGAUCGGCUGAAAGGAGGUAGGGUAAAUCUGGUUAGCUAGGCUGCACAAAUCAGAACUUUCUAUAGGGAUUGAUGAUGGGUUGUCUUAUAUGAGUUGUUUGAAGAAGAACUGAUCAGCCUGCAGCCCUACAUGAACUUCAGAAUGUGAUUCAACAUCAACAACAGAUGGUAUUUUGGCUCGCAAUAAAAAGAUGAACUUUAUGUCUUCUAGGUAUAUACACACAAAACCCUAAUCUUUUUUCAUACUUUGCAUACUGAUCUGUAUGUUUUUAUAGCAAGUUCUGCAUAAAGAAUCAUACACAGUUAGAUUUUAAGUUCAGGGACUAAGUUCUUAAUUCAAAUAGUAUGUGGCGAGACGAUGGUGACUGAUAGCGCCACGGUAAACCCAUCUCCACUGCUCGCAGCUGAUGUUAUGUGAGUUGGACACUGCCGCUGCUUCGUGUUUGAAAUCAAUGUAGGAUGUGUUGUUAAAUCUGUUUUUGGGUCUGGUGUUUGAGUCGAACAGACUCGAUCUAACUUUUCCCGAGCUUAAGAUUGAGCUGCAACGUUCUUGAUAAAUCAUGAAUGGUGAGGUGACGAUGAUGGCAAGUGUGCAUAAAAUGAAAGGAUGGUGAUUGUGAGAACCGAUGGCGAAGGCAGGUAUAAACCGGAUUGGGACAAAAAAAACUGGUUUUAACCUGUUUUUUUACAAUCGAUUCGUGUUAUAAACUGGUUUCAAAGAUCGAGAAUACGAGCCGGUAUCCAAACCGUCGGGUUGAAACUGGUUUUUAUUUCAAAUCGGAUUGGGUUUUUUUUCCAAACCGCCGCAUAGCAAACAUGGAGUUUGAGAAGAUUAACAAAGGCGGGGUUAUGGUAACUCAAGCAAUAGAUAAGGUACACAAAAUAUGUAUUGGUUCAUAAGGAUAUUUAUGGUAAUUUGACUUGCUGUGUGGUGGCUUUUUAUUGAAGACCUAUUCGUCACAUCGUAUUUUUAAUGGACAGUUAUUGGAUUCCAAAGUAUUUCACCAUGUACCUUUUAGAUACGUUAUGCUAGAAACUAAUGACAAGUAUAAAAAAAUUAUAUAAAUAUUAAAUACAUUGUACUUUUUGUACGAAAAGCGAUGCACUUUGCGUUCUGUUUGAAACUUUAUUGGCUUGGCGCGUGUUGUUUUAUUUGAAUCAAUUGGAAGCUUGUGGUUCUACUUGAUUUGGUUGCAAUAUGUUUUUUCUUUUCCGUUUUAUUUCUAUUUUUUGUGAUAUUUUUAUUUGGAGGUUAGAAUGAUUGUAGCAUAUUGAUGAGAUUGUAUGUUUUAUUUCAUCUACUUUUGAUAUGUUUUAUGUUUAAAGAAUCUUUUUUUUUUUGGUGAUUAUUAGCACCAAGGAUGAGGGGCAGCAGCCGUUCACCUUCAAAAUUGGCCAAGGCCAAGUUAUUAAAGUCUUUGUUUAAAAAGGCGCACCUGAUGCACAAGGCGAUCAUGUACUUUUGGGCGGAUUCCUACAGCUGAUGCUUUGGCUAUUAGGAAUGUGAACGUUGGAAACGGAAGUUGCCCUCUAUGCAGGACAGUUCAGGAGACUGCGGCCCAUCUGUUCGCUACCUAUCUUGUUUUGAGGACAUCAUUUGGGCUUGGGUUAAAAUCCCGCAUCCAGUUGCGGCUGAGACUCUAGACCAAGUCAUCCAGUUUGGGGCGAAUUUAGUCAUGCCGACUUUGAGGAAAAAGGUAAUAAAUGCGAUCUUUUUCAUGACUAUCUGGAAGAUUUGGAUACAUCGCAACGAGAAAAUUUUCAAAUGUAAAGCAGUGUCGGUAGAUAAUAUCACAGAGGAGAUCAAAGAAGAGAGCUUCUGGUGGAUGGCGAAACGAUCGAGAAUGGUGGGCAUCUCGAUGGAGAACCGGGGAGAUUUUGACGUAGGGUUGCAAUUUUAAUGUAUCUGGUAGUUUAGUAUAUGCUUUCUUCUAUGUUUGUUUUUCUUCUAUUUGGUUGCGGCUUUCACAACUGCUUGCUGUGUUAGCUUGUUCAACUUGUAUUUGUAGUUUUGGUUUAUAAAAUUUUGAAAAUGAAGUUUGCAGCAUUUGAAAUUGGUA
Molecule: long non-coding RNA, 2634 nt
Organism: Helianthus annuus (common sunflower)
Lineage: Eukaryota; Viridiplantae; Streptophyta; Magnoliopsida; Asterales; Asteraceae
Exons: 5
Source: RefSeq, a predicted model, not a curated record